RNAcentral lists this long non-coding RNA (2957 nucleotides) under Zea mays. Its description in RNAcentral is "long non-coding RNA (ZMAY_LNC000381)". The record is from RNAcentral. Lineage: Eukaryota; Viridiplantae; Streptophyta; Magnoliopsida; Poales; Poaceae.
UCAGCUUCAAAAGCGGACCAAGGACCCUCCUGUUUUCCCCUUAGCCAUCUCCCCUUCCAUCGCCACAAGGAGAAAUGCGGAAACGCCGUAGCCAAAAUUGGUAGAGGAGAGAGUGAAUGCCGCGAGGAGAUGACCGUCGACGUCAUUCCUUACCGAUGCCAUUAGUCGGGUCCACGUGGGUGCCGGGAGGACCUUCGUCAUGGCGGGUGGGGGGGGGGGGGGUUACCGUUGAGGAUUUUACCCUAGGCAACCCAGAUUUCUCGUCGGAAUCCACAACCAUGGCGGAAUCCUCGGUGCGCCGCGGACGAAGCUCUUGCCUGCACCAAUCAAUGUAAGAAUCUCCGCCGAGUCAUCGUUUUCCCCUAUGCUUUGCGUAGCACCUCGGGCAAAAACGAAUUACGGGCCCUUGGAUCUGUGAUUGCUCACCGGUGCGACCCGUCCGCCAUGAUGCUGUGCGAUACCGUGGUCGUGGCUCUACGUUGUUCGUAUCUGGUAAAUAACCUCUCUGUCGCGUUCACCGUUGCCUUCUCCCUUUACUACACCCAGAUUCGUGGGAGGUCAGGCAGCUGGGGGCCAGAAUGGUGCACUCCGGCGGGGAUCCGCCGUGGCCGUGGGGCGGCGCCGCCGCCUCGGCUCGGGACAAAGGUGAGGGGAUAGGGGUCGUCGGAUCGAUCAUCGACGGCUAGGAUUAGAAAACGGAUACCGUUUCGUCUGAGUCAAGUGAGACCGUAGAUGUCUGAUCGUGGGGCUGUGGGAGUUUCGGACUUUAUUAACUCUGGUCCAUCGGAUCUUGAUCCAAGGGUAGUCAUCGCACGUAGCUUCGUUGGGAGGGCAAACUGUUGUCAGCCCUCAGAUCUAAUCCAGUGGCCGAGAAUCACAAAUACCCUUUUGGCCAGCACCAUUUGCAAACGAGCCCCUCACGUUUUAGUGAAUACACCCGCCGUCCACAUGUGGGCAAAAUUCAUAACAGGGAGGCCAUGGAUUCUUUGAUUCUAAACCCUAGGUUCUUCUGUAUUCAUGGCUGUAGCCCAGAUAAUUAAGAAAUAAAUUAAAUUAAAUCCAGAAAUCAUUUUGGUGUAGAAAAAUAGUGUUCCCAAUCUUAGGAAAUUCAUAUCUUGAUGAAUUUAACUCCUUUUUUGGUCCGUUCCAAUUGCAUUAAACUCAUAGUAAUAUUGUUUAUCAUCAGGUAACCUCAUUUUGUCAUGAAAUAUAGAUUAAAAUAAUGCACUUAUUUUGUUCUAUAUUUAAUCACCUAAAAGUUCAGAAAAACAUAACUCGAUAAUCGUAACUCUGAUUUGAUCCGUUCAAGUUGUGUUAGUCUCGUAUAAAUAUUUAUUAUGCAAUAACAACAUUUAUUAUACCAUGUCCCAUUCUUUUAUAAUUAGAUCUUUAUUUAACUUAGGUUGGUUAGUCUUGUUAAUUUGCUUAUCAUUAUAAUUUACUAAAAUAUGAUCUAUGGUCAAAUUAUAACUUAGAUCAAAGUGAAUUAAUUAUUUAUAAGAUAUUCUCUCAUAUGAUUUAUAGUAACCAAUUUAUAAUAGUCUAAUAUUUUAAUCACAUAGAUCUUCUAUAAAAUCAUAACUCCUUAAUCAUGACUCUGAUCUUAGUAGUUUUCGAUCCCGCGAUCUCGUAGCAACGCGUACAUUAUUAUUAUUCAGUUUGUACUUAUAUUUGGUUUGGUGUGGUGUUAAUUUUAUCCAUAGCAUGUUUGUUUGUAUUGCUACGACUAGCGAGAGGUUUCGAGGAUUUGAAGAUCACCCUGGUAACUGGAAUCUCAAGUGCCAGGCAAGUUGUGCCCUUGAUCCACUUUUGUUACCCAAUAAUAUUCUUUAUUAUCAUUAUUCAAUGCAUAGGUUUAAUUUUGAUGGGACCCAAUAGGUCACCCUAGUCUAUAUAUCCUAUUUACCUUGUUUACCCCUGAAUCACUUGGGCAGUUUUUGCUAUUGCUUUACAUGGUUUUGGGUUAAUAUUACAUUAUAUCCAUGUUCCAAUUAUUGUAUUAUUUUAUUUAUGUUCAUGUCAAGAUCAUUAUCUUUAAUUGGAACAUGGAGCUUAACUUGAGAAACACGUGCCACUACAAGGGUGGAAUGGGACGCCCUUGGCUGACUAAUUAGGAAAGCUAGUAGAAGACCACCUUACCUGAAAGAAGCAAGGGCAGUAGGGGAGUUGCAUGCAAGGAGGUUCUCGGGUUGAUUUUGCUGCGAUGGCGGUCAGACGAGGGAUUCUUGCAAGUGCUCUUCCCAUAAAUUGUAGCGGGUUUUCGGAAGCUAGUGGAACUUUGUAAAGGCCUCGUAGUGGAUCCCUAGCCAUUCACCUCGGUAGUGUCUAAGGGUCUAGCUAACCCUGGUGACAUGGGAAACAUGGCUUGUGGGUAAAGGGUACAACCUCUGCAGUGUGUAAAACUGGUAUACUAGCCGAGCUCACGGUCAUGAGCAGCUCAGGACUCUCACAUGAUUAAUCUAUGGAACUUAAAUUCAAUUUGUCAUAUGCAUUGCAUGGGAUCAUUUGUUAAUUUUGUUCUAUUAUUAUUUAUUAUGGUUUGGUAUUUACUUACAUAUAGUGAUUACUAAUAAAAUUUUGACCGACUUAUUAAAAGCAAUGCUCAGUUUUAACCCCUAUUGUUGAUCAGCUUUACACAUCACAUGAACUCCCAUCUUUGUGAGUUCAUGCCACAUUAUUCCCCACAACUUGUUGAGCGAUGAACAUGUGUGAGCUCACCCUUUCUGUCUCACACCCCCUAGGAGAAGUACAUGUGGUUCAAGUGGAGCCACGCAUCGAGGAGUUCGAUUUGAUCUAGGUGGCGUCUCCCAGUUGACUUGCGCCAAGGAUGAUCCUUAGUUCGUGUUAUAUUUAUAUAUUAUUUUUGUAAGACUUUCGCUAUGUAAUAAGUACUCUGAUUAUAUUGUGACAUUUAUCUCUAUACACUCUGUUAUUAUAUAUAUUGUCUUCUUUGAUGC